GGAAUUUUGCGCAAUGGGGGCAACCCUGACGCAGCAACGCCGCGUGGAGGACGCAGGCUUUCGAGUCGUAAACUCCUGUCCUCGGGGACGAAUCAAAUGACGGUACCCGUGGAGGACGCCCCGGCUAACGCCGUCCACGCAGCCGCGGUUAUACGGGGGGGGCGAGCGUUGUUCGGAAUUACUGGGCGUAGAGGGCGCGCAGGCGGCCCGAGAAGUUCUGGGUGAAAGCCCCCGGCUCAACCGGGGAAGGGCCUGGGAAACCAUCGGGCUGGAGUGCUGGAGAGGCAAGCGGAAUUUCUGGUGUAGCGGUGAAAUGCGUAGAUAUCAGAAGGAACACCUGAGGCGAAGGCGGCUUGCUGGACAGACACUGACGCUGAGGCGCGAAAGCCAGGGGAGCA
Molecule: ribosomal RNA, 398 nt
Filed under: uncultured bacterium
Lineage: Bacteria
Description: bacterial SSU rRNA
Rfam family: Bacterial small subunit ribosomal RNA
Source: RNAcentral